Molecule: small nuclear RNA, 260 nt
Filed under: Meriones unguiculatus (Mongolian gerbil)
Lineage: Eukaryota; Metazoa; Chordata; Mammalia; Rodentia; Muridae
Description: 7SK RNA (ENSMUGG00000006050.1)
Rfam family: 7SK RNA
About the family: 7SK was discovered as an abundant small nuclear RNA in the mid-70s but a possible function has only recently been suggested. Two independent studies have found that 7SK RNA binds the CDK9/cyclin T complex (known as elongation factor P-TEFb).
Source: RNAcentral
GGAGGUUGUAAGAGAUCCUGCCACUGGCUAGGUAGGUAUUCCCUUCCUCCUUCACCUCUCCUUCUGUGUCCUUCCAGAAGCUGUGCUCUUGGUCAAAGAGGACAACCUUCUCUAAAUAGAGGAGGAAAGGUCCUCAGUCAAGGUCAUACCAGUAGCUGUGUUCCCCUGCUAGAAUCUCCAAACAAGGUCAUAUUUGGCAGUUUUAAUAUAAUGCCCUCCCACUGGCUCAUAUAUUUGAAUGAACAGGAGUGGAACUCUUU